AACUUGCCUAUGAGCGGGGGACAACAUUCGGAAACGGAUGCUAAUACCCCAUAGGUGGAUUGGUCGCAUGACGAAUUCAUUAAAGGUGGCUUUGCUACCACUCAUGGAUAGCCUCGCGGCGUAUUAGCUAGUUGGUAAGGUAAUGGCUUACCAAGGCGGCGACGGGUAGCCGGACUGAGAGGUUGGUCGGCCACAUUGGGACUGAGAUACGGCCCAG
Molecule: ribosomal RNA, 217 nt
Filed under: uncultured Carnobacteriaceae bacterium
Lineage: Bacteria; Bacillati; Bacillota; Bacilli; Lactobacillales; Carnobacteriaceae
Description: partial 16S ribosomal RNA
Rfam family: Bacterial small subunit ribosomal RNA
Source: RNAcentral